AGAGUUUGAUCAUGGCUCAGAAUCAACGCUGGCGGCGUGCCUAACACAUGCAAGUCGAGCGAGAAAAGGGGGGCAACUCCCUGAGUAAAGCGGCGCACGGGUGAGUAACACGUGGGUAAUCUGCCCUGAAGUGGGGAAUAACACCGGGAAACCGGUGCUAAUACCGCAUACGAUCACGGAGUCUGCGGAUUUUGUGAUGAAAGGAGCAAUUCGCUUUAGGAGGAGCCCGCGGCUGAUUAGCUAGUUGGUGAGGUAAUGGCUCACCAAGGCUACGAUCAGUAUCCGGUCUGAGAGGACGGUCGGACACACUGGAACUGAGACGCGGUCCAGACUCCUACGGGAGGCAGCAGUGGGGAAUUUUUCGCAAUGGGGGCAACCCUGACGAAGCAACGCCGCGUGGGUGAUGAAGUCUCUUGGGACGUAAAACCCUUUCGACGGGGAAGAAACCGCAAGGUUGACGGUACCCGUAGAAGAAGCCCCGGCUAACUCCGUGCCAGCAGCCGCGGUAAUACGGGGGGGGCAAGCGUUGUUCGGAAUUACUGGGCGUAAAGGGUGCGUAGGCGGUUCGUUAAGUUGGAUGUGAAAACUCUGGGCUCAACCCAGAGCCUGCAUCCAAAACUGGCGAGCUAGAGUUCUGGAGGGGGUAGUGGAAUUCCUGGUGUAGCGGUGAAAUGCGUAGAUAUCAGGAGGAACACCGGUGGCGAAGGCGGCUACCUGGACAGAAACUGACGCUGAGGCACGAAAGCUAGGGGAGCAAACAGGAUUAGAUACCCCCGUAGUCC
RNAcentral lists this ribosomal RNA (782 nucleotides) under uncultured bacterium. RNAcentral's name for it is "bacterial SSU rRNA". It matches the Rfam family "Bacterial small subunit ribosomal RNA", at positions 8 to 796 of the family's 1533-position model. The record is from RNAcentral.